GGGCGAGUGGCGGAAUGGCAGACGCGCACGACUCAAAAUCGUGUGAGGAAACUCAUGAGGGUUCGACUCCCUCCUCGCCCA
Molecule: transfer RNA, 81 nt
Filed under: bacterium
Lineage: Bacteria
Also listed under: 1 other name
Description: tRNA-Leu
Rfam family: tRNA
About the family: Transfer RNA (tRNA) molecules are approximately 80 nucleotides in length. Their secondary structure includes four short double-helical elements and three loops (D, anti-codon, and T loops). Further hydrogen bonds mediate the characteristic L-shaped molecular structure. tRNAs have two regions of fundamental functional importance: the anti-codon, which is responsible for specific mRNA codon recognition, and the 3' end, to which the tRNAs corresponding amino acid is attached (by aminoacyl-tRNA synthetases). tRNAs cope with the degeneracy of the genetic code in two manners: having more than one tRNA (with a specific anti-codon) for a particular amino acid; and 'wobble' base-pairing, i.e. permitting non-standard base-pairing at the 3rd anti-codon position.
Source: RNAcentral